AGUUCGGCUGGGAUCGGUGACAGGUGCUGCAUGGCUGUCGUCAGCUCGUGUCGUGAGAUGUUGGGUUAAGUCCCGCAACGAGCGCAACCCUUGUCCUUAGUUGCCAGCAUUCAGUUGGGCACUCUAAGGAGACUGCCGGUGUCAAACCGGAGGAAGUGGGGAUGACGUCAAGUCCUCAUGGCCCUUAUGUCCAGGGCUACACACGUGCUACAAUGGCCGGUACAAAGGGCGCAAGACCGCGAGGUGGAGCAAAUCCCAAAAAACCGGUCUCAGUUCGGAUUGGAGUCUGCAACUCGACUCCAUGAAGUUGGAAUCGCUAGUAAUCGCGUAUCAGCAUGACGCGGUGAAUACCGUUCCCGGGCCUU
This 365-nucleotide ribosomal RNA is filed under the name uncultured Desulfuromonas sp. Its description in RNAcentral is "bacterial SSU rRNA". It matches the Rfam family "Bacterial small subunit ribosomal RNA", at positions 1013 to 1382 of the family's 1533-position model. The record is from RNAcentral. Lineage: Bacteria; Pseudomonadati; Thermodesulfobacteriota; Desulfuromonadia; Desulfuromonadales; Desulfuromonadaceae.